AUCACUUCUUGGCCUUUUGGCUAAGAUCAAGUGUAAAUUUUAGAAUAAGCUUGCUUAUGCCAAAAAAACACCUUGCUGAGAAUUUGAUAGGAAUUGCAUUAAACCUAUCAAUCAGUUUAAGGAGA
RNAcentral lists this small nuclear RNA (125 nucleotides) under Cervus hanglu yarkandensis (Yarkand deer). Its description in RNAcentral is "U2 spliceosomal RNA (ENSCHYG00000011976.1)". It matches the Rfam family "U2 spliceosomal RNA". From Rfam's summary of the family: U2 is a small nuclear RNA (snRNA) component of the spliceosome (involved in pre-mRNA splicing). Complementary binding between U2 snRNA (in an area lying towards the 5' end but 3' to hairpin I) and the branchpoint sequence (BPS) of the intron results the bulging out of an unpaired adenosine, on the BPS, which initiates a nucleophilic attack at the intronic 5' splice site, thus starting the first of two transesterification reactions that mediate splicing. Lineage: Eukaryota; Metazoa; Chordata; Mammalia; Artiodactyla; Cervidae. The record is from Rfam by way of RNAcentral.